Molecule: unclassified non-coding RNA, 240 nt
Filed under: soil metagenome
Description: partial contains 5.8S ribosomal RNA, internal transcribed spacer 2, and large subunit ribosomal RNA
Source: RNAcentral
AACUGAUACUACCUGCGGGAACCUGCGGAAGGAUCAUUAACGAGUUUUGAAGUGGGAUUGAUGCUGGCCUUCCGAGGCAUGUGCUCGUCCUCGCUCAUCCACUCACAACACCUGUGCACUGUUGAGGUGUGGCCCCCCUUCAAUGGAGCCGUUCCCCCCUAGGGGGUCGAGCCGGGGUCAGGCCUUCUUCGUCACAAACAACCUGUAAUGUCUAUUCGGAAUGUAAUGCUUCAUGUUAAU